Molecule: small RNA, 750 nt
Filed under: Pongo abelii (Sumatran orangutan)
Lineage: Eukaryota; Metazoa; Chordata; Mammalia; Primates; Hominidae
Description: processed transcript
Source: RNAcentral
AGGACGGGGCGGGACCAGACAGUUGCGCGCACAGAAGGCUGGCGUAGCAGACCCCCCACCCAACCUGCCCUACUUUGUACGACGCUCUCGGAUGCACAACAUCCCUGUCUACAAGGACAUCACGCAUGGCAACCGGCAGAUGACUGUGAUCCGGAAAGUGGAAGGGGACAUCUGGGCCCUGCAGAAAGAUGUGGAAGAUUUUCUGAGCCCGCUGCUGGGGAAGACACCCGUCACCCAGGUCAAUGAGGUGACAGGUACCCUACGGAUCAAGGGCUACUUUGACCAGGAGCUUAAAGCCUGGCUCUUGGAGAAAGGCUUCUGAGGCCCAGCUGAGCAGCCUGCAUGUCAGCAUGCCCUGUGGAUCAAGUCUAGGGGGCCUCAGGAGGAGGGAGGUGGGUGUUGGAGCCCCUGAGACGGGAUACAGAAACUAGGGCUAAAGGACUUUGGGGUCAGGCCUUGUUUGCAUAAAGGAGAAAACGACUCUAUGUACAUGCUGGGGGAGAGUGCCUAAUGUGGGAGACCAAAUAGGAAUAACCAGGCUAAUGGGGGGCAUCAGCAGCUUUCUCUCCCUCCUAUCUUGGCCUGUUCUUUUUUGUUUUUUGAGACGGAGUCUCACUCUCUUGCCCAGGGUGGAGUGCAGUGGCAUGAUCUUGGCUCACUGCAACUUCCACCUCUGGGAUCAAGUGAUUCUCCUGCCUCAGCCUCCUGAGUAGCUGGGAUUACAGGCGCCCACCACCACAGCCUGGUAAU